UACAGAGGUCCCAAGCGUUGUUCGGAUUCAUUGGGCGUAAAGGGUGCGUAGGCGGCGCGGUAAGUCGGGUGUGAAAUCUCGGAGCUUAACUCCGAAACUGCAUUCGAUACUGCCGUGCUUGAGGACUGGAGAGGAGACUGGAAUUUACGGUGUAGCGGUGAAAUGCGCAGAUAUCAGGAGGAACACCCGUGGCGAAAGCGGCUCUCUGGGACGGUACUGACGCUGAGACGCGAAAGCGUGGGGAGCAAACAGG
RNAcentral lists this ribosomal RNA (253 nucleotides) under uncultured bacterium. RNAcentral describes it as "partial 16S ribosomal RNA". It matches the Rfam family "Bacterial small subunit ribosomal RNA", at positions 524 to 776 of the family's 1533-position model. The record is from RNAcentral.